This 235-nucleotide long non-coding RNA is filed under the name Nicotiana benthamiana. RNAcentral describes it as "long non-coding RNA (NBEN_LNC037139)". The record is from RNAcentral. Lineage: Eukaryota; Viridiplantae; Streptophyta; Magnoliopsida; Solanales; Solanaceae.
AGGGCCGCUUUCUUAAUAAUUCAAAUAGAUAGUUCUGCUCACAUCAAGGGAAGCUCUUCAUUAACUGAGAAGCUCAUUGGCUCGCCUUUGACUCUAGCCUCUCAUUUAACUCGCUACUUCGUCAACUUCUCAGUCCCUCGUGAGUGUGGCACGCACCUCUACAUCUUUUCCUAUCUAUAGUCAGGGGACUGCUGCUCAUAACUACUAGCUAUCCAUCUAGCCCACGAUAGCAAAG